RNAcentral lists this ribosomal RNA (415 nucleotides) under uncultured beta proteobacterium. RNAcentral's name for it is "bacterial SSU rRNA". It matches the Rfam family "Bacterial small subunit ribosomal RNA", at positions 9 to 429 of the family's 1533-position model. Lineage: Bacteria; Pseudomonadati; Pseudomonadota; Betaproteobacteria. The record is from RNAcentral.
GAGUUUGAUCUUGGCUCAGAUUGAACGCUGGCGGCAUGCCUUACACAUGCAAGUCGAACGGUAACGCGGGGCAACCUGGCGACGAGUGGCGAACGGGUGAGUAAUGUAUCGGAACGUGCCCAGUUGUGGGGGAUAACUGCUCGAAAGAGCAGCUAAUACCGCAUACGACCUGAGGGUGAAAGCGGGGGAUCGCAAGACCUCGCGCAAUUGGAGCGGCCGAUAUCAGAUUAGGUAGUUGGUGGGGUAAAGGCCUACCAAGCCGACGAUCUGUAGCUGGUCUGAGAGGACGACCAGCCACACUGGGACUGAGACACGGCCCAGACUCCUACGGGAGGCAGCAGUGGGGAAUUUUGGACAAUGGGGGCAACCCUGAUCCAGCCAUGCCGCGUGCGGGAUGAAGGCCUUCGGUUGUAAG